RNAcentral lists this ribosomal RNA (425 nucleotides) under uncultured bacterium. RNAcentral describes it as "partial 16S ribosomal RNA". It matches the Rfam family "Bacterial small subunit ribosomal RNA", at positions 354 to 796 of the family's 1533-position model. The record is from RNAcentral.
GUGGGGAAUCUUAGACAAUGGGGGAAACCCUGAUCUAGCCAUGCCGCGUGAGCGAUGAAGGCCUUAGGGUUGUAAAGCUCUUUCAGCUGGGAAGAUAAUGACGGUACCAGCAGAAGAAGCCCCGGCUAACUCCGUGCCAGCAGCCGCGGUAAUACGGAGGGGGCUAGCGUUGUUCGGAAUUACUGGGCGUAAAGCGCGCGUAGGCGGACCAGAAAGUUGGAGGUGAAAUCCCAGGGCUCAACCUUGGAACUGCCUUCAAAACUCCUGGUCUGGAGUUCGAGAGAGGUGAGUGGAAUUCCGAGUGUAGAGGUGAAAUUCGUAGAUAUUCGGAAGAACACCAGUGGCGAAGGCGACUCACUGGCCCAAUACUGACGCUGAGGCGCGAAAGCGUGGGGAGCAAACAGGAUUAGAAACCCGGGUAGUCC